AUUGAACGCUGGCGGCAGGCUUAACACAUGCAAGUCGAGCGGGGGAAGGUAGCUUGCUACCGGACCUAGCGGCGGACGGGUGAGUAAUGCUUAGGAAUCUGCCUAUUAGUGGGGGACAACAUCUCGAAAGGGAUGCUAAUACCGCAUACGUCCUACGGGAGAAAGCAGGGGAUCUUCGGACCUUGCGCUAAUAGAUGAGCCUAAGUCGGAUUAGCUAGUUGGUGGGGUAAAGGCCUACCAAGGCGACGAUCUGUAGCGGGUCGGAGAGGAUGGUCCGCCACACUGGGACGGAGACACGGCCCAGACUACUACGGGAGGCAGCAGUGGGGAAUAUUGGACAAUGGGGGGAACCCUGAUCCAGCCAUGCCGCGUGUGUGAAGAAGGCCUUAUGGUUGUAAAGCACUUUAAGCGAGGAGGAGGCUACUCUAGUUAAUACCUAGGGAUAGUGGACGUUACUCGCAGAAUAAGCACCGGCUAACUCUGUGCCAGCCGCCGCCGUAA
This 501-nucleotide ribosomal RNA is filed under the name uncultured bacterium. Its description in RNAcentral is "partial 16S ribosomal RNA". It matches the Rfam family "Bacterial small subunit ribosomal RNA", at positions 30 to 523 of the family's 1533-position model. The record is from RNAcentral.